AGGGUUCUAUUGGUGUUGACUGUAAAAACAUAGACUUUUUUCUAAAACAACUUGUACACAUUUUGAGUUUCUUCUUUUCUUGCUGCUGCUCCCAUCGCUGAAAGAUCCACUGAAUUGUUUAGGUAGUACUACAGUUCAUAAAGAGUGGAGAAUAAAUGCACGCACUUAGUUGCAUAAAUAAAUAUUCCACUUUAAAUCUAAAAUCAUUUUUCCUCUUCUGCAGGUACAUUUUCUAGGUACUAACACUGAAAAGAAACUAAAAUGUAGCAGUAUGUAAAUAGUAUAGGAUGUAAACAUCCUAUGUAAAUGUAGCCACAACUACAAACAAAUGAUUGACAACCAUUUAUAUAAAGUUUGUUUGCGUAAUCAACUCGCAAAAAUUUAGCCCAUAAAAGUCAUUCAUAGUCCAUAGAUACGUACAUGCGCAAAUUAACUCGCAAAAAUUUUUGUUGGGCCCGUGCUUACGCGGGACAUCACUGCCUAGUAUAUAUAUAUAUUUCAACAACUCACUUACAUGAACUAGACGGAUUAUUUGAUUUAAAAUAUAUAUCGGCAUCAUUGUUUAUAAUAUAUAUAGGCAUAAGUAACUAGUGGAUUUGUGGAUUUUUAGAAUCACUUUUUAUUUUCUUCCCUAAUUAAACUAGCACCUAAUAUCCAUAGUCAACUUGUUAGAUUAAAUCUUUUACAUGAGGCAAAGCAACUCUCAAAGAAAAUAUGGAACUAAGUAUAUAAUCGAGGGAAAUGGUGUUAGGCUGCAAUAUUUAUUCUUCAUUUACUCUCUGUAAUCUAAAAUACUCUGAAUUAUUAAUAUAUAUACCCACCGCCGUGAAAGUUUACUCACAGGGUGUUACCACGAAAUUUUGGUUUCUCUUUUUCUCUCUCUAGAUAUCUCAUCUCUUUCUCUUGAAAGUUCUUGUGUUCUUAAUUCAUCAAGUGUGUGUGUGAAUUUGAUCAUAACAAAUGGAUCAAAAGAAAAAAGAUUUAAAAUAUCCUCUAUCUAUUUUUUGGUCUAAAAGUUAUUCUUCCAUCACCUUUUUGAAUCACUAAUUACCUUAAAACUAACAAUUCUCUCUUUAUUCUUUAUUUUUAAAAAGUAUUUAUUAUUUGUCAUCCUCCUAUUGGACAAUAUAAAAAGUUCAUCUCAAUCAGAUUAUUUAUCCAAAUCAUAGCAAUAGACUUCUUCUAGACCCCAAUUUUUUUAUAAAAAAUAUUAUGAUUUUUUUAUCCAACUCCUCUCUAUUUCCUCAAUAUUUUAUUUGGAUUUGAAGACUUAUGACAAAAGAAAAAAUCAACGAAUAAUAUUUAAUUAAUUAAAUCAAGAUUAUUAACAUGAUAUAGAUGAUUAAUAUUUUAUAAAAAAUUAUUAUGUCAUACUCAUAACAAUAUAUUAUUUUAUCUACAAGUACAUUACACACAUUUUUCUCUAUUUUCCUACUUAAAUUUUCCCUAUAGCUACGACCAUCCAUCUGUUUUUUUAAUAAGUUAAUGUUUUAAAUAAAAUUGUAUGUGGGACUUUUUCUUUAAAAAGUAGUUAUCACAAAUUAUCAAAAAAAUUAAGAUAACAAUUUUUCUAUUUAUUUAUUUUUCUAAAAAGGAAGAUAAAUAUUGUGGCACUAUUAAUAUUUUCAUAAUAUAUUAAUUAUUUAAAACAAACUUUUUUUUAAUUUUUUUUAGAUAAAAUACAAAAAUUACUAGAUUUUUUAAAAAAAAAUUUAAGAUCUUGAAGCUGUAUAUAUAUUGUUGAUUUAAAUAAGUUGUGGGGAAAUAAUUAAUAGAGAUGAGAUUUUUGUUUAAUCUAAUAAAAAAAUAACAAAUAAUAAAUACUUUUAAAACAUAAAAUAAAAAUUAGUUACUAGUUAUAAAGGUAUAAGCUCGUAAAAAAGGUGAAUGAAAGGGUAUAAGUGAGCCAAAAAGGUGAAUGGAAUGGUAUAUGCGAACCAAAAAGGUGAUGAAAGAGUAUUUUAAAAUCAAAACAUGAAUGAAAAAUAUUUUUAGACCUUUUCUUAUUAUUCAAGGGUAAUUUUGACCCUUUUCUGUGUAAUCAAUACAAUAAUUGUUCUUAAAAAAUCUUAUUGUUUUUGUCCUUGGGCUGCUAAUUAUUUGAGUCCGAAGUCUAAAGGGUAAAAAAAUUUACUAAAGAUUCCAAAAGGGUAUAUCAUUUUUUUUAAAACCAAAAGGGCAAAAUCACUAUUGACACAACGAUUUUAUUUUUCGUUAAGUCUCAAAUCGCUGACCUACCAGAGUUUUUGUUGAUAUUUUUUUUCUUUUUUAAAAAAAGAAUGACAUUUUUUUGGAAUAUCGCUACCUCUGUAGGGAUAUCUGUGAAAAUAUUUUUUCUUUCUUUUUUAAAAUAUGGCCUUGGUAGCUAUUAAAGUAAAUACUUUUUUCAUAAAUAAAGAUGUCAAUUAUUUUAUAAAAAUUAUUUAAUGUUGGUGAUUUUUUUUUUUGAAAAUAAUUAAAAUCAGCGUUUUAUUAAAAAAAGUUUUUUCUUUUUAAUUAAACAAAUAACUUCUAGUAAAUUUAUGUUUUUAAAAAUAUCGUUGCCUACUAUUUUCUAAAAGAAGUCGUAUUAUAUGUUGAAGAUUUUUCUUCUCAGUUUUUGAUCAAAUAAAUUGCAUUACAAUUUUUAGUAAAGAUUUCACUAAGUGAUUAAAAAAAUCCAUUUUUUUAAGUAGCGAUAUUAACAAAAAUAAAUUCAAUAAAAAUGCUGCAGUUACAACGAUUUUAUUUUAUAAAAAUUAAGAAAACGCUGCCCACGCAGCGAUCUUCUUUGGAAUUUUUUUUGCCGACAUUGCUGAUAGGCCAGCGAUUUUGAAUGUUGAGUGAAAACAAAAUCGCAACGUCAAUAGCGAUUUUACCUUUUUAGUUAUUUUUUUUAUAUAACCCUUUAGAAUUUUUGACAAUUUCUUUUGCCCUUUAAGGCUUCGGGCUCCUAAUUAUUUCCUCAUCAGGAUUUUCUUAUCUAAGUAUAUUUUUGAAGUGAAAACUUGAUAAUUUGAAUUUUUGAACAUGAAUUAAUUUUAUUUGAAAGAAAUUUAAGUUUGGUGAGUGAGCGAGUAAAAUGUCAUUUCAAAAUAUUUGAAAAAUUAUAUCAAAAUUUCAUCACCAAAACAAAUAUCUGAUGAGAAAUAACCAAAUUAUAUAGUACUAACAAGUUUAAUUGCCCUCGAAUAACCAAUGCAUUAAUACAAAAUGAUUUUCUUAAAAAUAUUUUGUUGAGAUAAAUAAAUAUAUUAAGUUUUCGUAAUAACGUCCAACAAUAUUAUAUAUAUAAAUAAAUAUGAAGGGUGUACAAUAGAAAAGCUAAAUCCAAAUAAAAAAUCGAUCACAUAACUUUUUUUUUUGUAAUUUUUAUAAUAAAGGACUAUCAAGGUAUAUUUUUCUCAAUUGGGAAGAGAAGCUUCAUGCUCAUUCAUUUCAGGGUACAAUAGAGUCCAUAAUUCUAGAGACAAGUUAUUUUAACCAUAUUUAAGCUGGUAAGUCUUGUACGUAGACUUAUAAUUCCAAAAGUAUAUAAAAUCCAUUAAUUUGAAAAAAUAGUUAAGUGGAGUGCAAGAUCGAGUAAAUUACAGAGAAAGGAUGAGGAGCUUACUUGCAACUUGCAAGGAACUUGGAGAUGGAGUCUAACAUUCUAUGUUGUUCACUUGGAAGAGAUGAUUUAAUAUUGAUUGUUAU
Molecule: long non-coding RNA, 3675 nt
Filed under: Solanum lycopersicum (tomato)
Lineage: Eukaryota; Viridiplantae; Streptophyta; Magnoliopsida; Solanales; Solanaceae
Description: long non-coding RNA (SLYC_LNC000765)
Source: RNAcentral